CACGUAGGGUGCGAGCGUUGUCCGGAAUUAUUGGGCGUAAAGAGCUCGUAGGCGGUGUGUCGCGUCGGCCGUGAAAACCUGCAGCUUAACUGUGGGCUUGCGGUCGAUACGGGCAUCACUGGAGUUCGGCAGGGGAGACUGGAAUUCCUGGUGUAGCGGUGAAAUGCGUAGAUAUCGAGAGGAGCACCUGCGGCGAAGGCGGGUUGCUGGGCCGACACUGACGCUGAUGCGCGAAAGCCAGGGGAGCGAACGGG
RNAcentral lists this ribosomal RNA (254 nucleotides) under uncultured bacterium. RNAcentral describes it as "partial 16S ribosomal RNA". It matches the Rfam family "Bacterial small subunit ribosomal RNA", at positions 524 to 776 of the family's 1533-position model. The record is from RNAcentral.